UACGGAGGGUGCAAGCGUUAAUCGGAAUUACUGGGCGUAAAGCGCACGUAGGUGGUUUGCUAAGCCAGCUGUGAAAUCCCCGGGCUCAACCUGGGCACUGCAGUUGGAACUGGCAAGCUAGAGUAGGGUAGAGGGGUGUGGAAUUCCAGGUGUAGCGGUGAAAUGCGUAGAUAUCUGGAGGAACAUCAGUGGCGAAGGCGACACCCUGGACUCAUACUGACACUGAGGUGCGAAAGCGUGGGGAGCAAACAGG
This 253-nucleotide ribosomal RNA is filed under the name uncultured bacterium. Its description in RNAcentral is "partial 16S ribosomal RNA". It matches the Rfam family "Bacterial small subunit ribosomal RNA", at positions 524 to 776 of the family's 1533-position model. The record is from RNAcentral.